This 20-nucleotide small RNA is filed under the name Arabidopsis thaliana (thale cress). RNAcentral's name for it is "ATSL186490". The record is from RNAcentral. Lineage: Eukaryota; Viridiplantae; Streptophyta; Magnoliopsida; Brassicales; Brassicaceae.
UUUUUUUUGGUGUUUUUGAU